Molecule: ribosomal RNA, 467 nt
Filed under: uncultured bacterium
Lineage: Bacteria
Description: partial 16S ribosomal RNA
Rfam family: Bacterial small subunit ribosomal RNA
Source: RNAcentral
GACGAACGCUGGCGGCGUGCUUAACACAUGCAAGUCGAACGGAAAGGCCUCUUUCGGGGGGUACUCGAGUGGCGAACGGGUGAGUAACACGUGAGUAACCUGCCCUUGACUUUGGGAUAACUUCAGUAAACUGGGGCUAAUACCGGAUAGGAGCUCCUGCUGCAUGGUGGGGGUUGGAAAGUUUCGGCGGCUGGGGAUGGACUCGCGGCUUAUCAGCUUGUUGGUGGGGUAGUGGCUUACCAAGGCUUUGACGGGUAGCCGGCCUGAGAGGGUGACCGGCCACAUUGGGACUGAGGUACGGCCCAGACUCCUACGGGAGGCAGCAGUGGGGAAUAUUGCACGAUGGGUGGAAGCCUGAUGCAGCAACGCCGUGUGCGGGAUGACGGCCUUCGGGUUGUAAACCGCUUUCGCUCAUGACGAAGCUUUGUGUGACGGUAGUGGGUAAAGAAGCACCGGCUAACUACGUG